RNAcentral lists this unclassified non-coding RNA (498 nucleotides) under Zea mays. RNAcentral describes it as "misc RNA Zm00001eb438190". The record is from RNAcentral. Lineage: Eukaryota; Viridiplantae; Streptophyta; Magnoliopsida; Poales; Poaceae.
AUUACCGCCAUGGACCCUUCCAUUUCCACGAACGUGAUUUAGUGAGAUCACUCAUCAUAUUUGAUGAAAGUGAUGACUCAGCAGCACAUACUAUAAAUAGUGAUGAUGAGGAUAGAAUCCUCCAUAAUUUCCUUAUAUCAGCGGCAUACCAUAAAUCUAAAUUUGGUGUAUACCAAGACGCUAUGGAGUUUAUCUCUAAAAUAAUACCAGAUAUGGUAAGUAAACCUACAUUCUUUGAAAAAGAUAUCUUUAUGGAUACACUGUGCUGCAGGCACCCAUUUCAGUAUAUAUCAUCAUGUAUAAGUUUGAAGACGUACGCGGAUACAGGAGACUUGUCUGUGCUGCGAUACACACCAGUAUCCCAAGAUGCCUCAGCAAGUGCUUAUCAGAUGAUGAGUUACUUUUUGUUGGAUAUUGAUUAUGGGAUACAUACAAAUCUUUUAAAAACCCCAAAUACGGAUGGCAGAUAUAUCAGGGAUAUAUAUGAAUUCAUGCGGG